AGUGAUAUAGCUUAGUGGUAGAGCAUGUACUUAGCAUGUUCAAGGUCCUGAGUUCAAUCCUCAGAACCUCCA
Molecule: transfer RNA, 72 nt
Filed under: Camelus bactrianus (Bactrian camel)
Lineage: Eukaryota; Metazoa; Chordata; Mammalia; Artiodactyla; Camelidae
Also listed under: 2 other names
Rfam family: tRNA
About the family: Transfer RNA (tRNA) molecules are approximately 80 nucleotides in length.
Source: Rfam by way of RNAcentral